GGUGGCGCAGAUGUUCGCGAAGGCUGGAUUCUACAGCACCUCCCAAGAGGUGGUUGAGAUGAUCACUUCAGAGAACAAGGUGACCGGGAACACGAGGUCAAUGGGGAAACGCUUUGAGAUAUUGUUGGGAGAGACGGAGUUGACUUGUUCUGUCUGAUCCUUGUUAUUAUUGUUGGCGGGGCCAGCAAGGAGCCACAGCGAGGAAACUCCCCGCCAGGCUGGCACAGUCAGUUGCAUUUGCAGCUGGCCACGCUGCCGAAUAACCUGGGCAACUGGGAGUGGAUCCGGAGGCGGAAAGCUGUUCCGAUGGUUCCUUAAGCCUCUAUCGCUUUUGUUGAUGCUUUGCGGUCGAGAAACACAUGGAUAAUAUUAUUGUCUCGUACUCGAAGGUAUCAUCACCAUGGUGGUUGACCACUACUCCGUAGAGAGAUAGACAUUGAACAAAAGCGACUCGGUUUGGCAUGUACGCUGUACGGAGUAGGCUGUAUGGUGGAGCGAUUCCUACCCAUUUCUAGCUUAGAAGUUAGAUAAAGAAGGCGUGG
Molecule: small RNA, 542 nt
Filed under: Histoplasma ohiense
Lineage: Eukaryota; Fungi; Ascomycota; Eurotiomycetes; Onygenales; Ajellomycetaceae
Description: hypothetical lncRNA
Source: RNAcentral